This 273-nucleotide ribosomal RNA is filed under the name uncultured bacterium. RNAcentral describes it as "partial 16S ribosomal RNA". It matches the Rfam family "Bacterial small subunit ribosomal RNA", at positions 524 to 796 of the family's 1533-position model. The record is from RNAcentral.
GACGGAGGAUGCAAGCGUUAUCCGGAAUUAUUGGGCGUAAAGCGUACGCAGGUGGCUAAUCAAGUCUUUUGUCAAAGACCGGGGCUUAACUCUGGGAAGGCAGGGGAAACUGAUUGGCUAGAGGAUGGUAGGGGCAGGAGGAAUUCCCGGUGUAGCGGUGAAAUGCGUAGAUAUCGGGAAGAACACCAGUGGCGAAAGCGUUCUGCUAGACCAUAACUGACACUCAUGUACGAAAGCUAGGGGAGCGAAUGGGAUUAGAUACCCCCGUAGUCC